RNAcentral lists this ribosomal RNA (253 nucleotides) under uncultured bacterium. RNAcentral's name for it is "partial 16S ribosomal RNA". It matches the Rfam family "Bacterial small subunit ribosomal RNA", at positions 524 to 776 of the family's 1533-position model. The record is from RNAcentral.
UACAGAGGGCGCAAGCGUUGUUCGGAAUUAUUGGGCGUAAAGCGCGUGUAGGUGGUUUGGAAAGUUGGAUGUGAAAGCCCGGGGCUCAACCCCGGAAUGGCAUUUAAAACUCCCAAGCUAGAGUCCCGGAGGGGAAGGCGGAAUUCCCGGUGUAGAGGUGAAAUUCGUAGAUAUCGGGAGGAACACCAGUGGCGAAGGCGGCCUUCUGGACGGUGACUGACACUGAGACGCGAAAGCGUGGGGAGCAAACAGG